Molecule: long non-coding RNA, 633 nt
Organism: Coregonus clupeaformis (lake whitefish)
Lineage: Eukaryota; Metazoa; Chordata; Actinopteri; Salmoniformes; Salmonidae
Exons: 3
Source: RefSeq, a predicted model, not a curated record
GUGUCAUACUAUUGGUUAGACAGUUUCCCCUUUAAUGAGGUUGACAGUUAAAACUGUCUCUUACAUUAGGCUGAGUCACACAGAGGAUCCAGCGGUGAAGUGAGGAAACACAAACCUACAACUGAGAUAACAGCAGACGUUACAACCGUAGAAGUUACAACAGCAGAAGUUACAACCAUAGAAAUUACAACAGUAGAAGUUACAAGAUUAGAAGUUACAAGAGUAGAAGAUACAAGAGUAGAAGUUACAACAGUAGAAGUUACUGCAUUUGAGCACAAGUGUGUAAAGAUGUCAGAGGCAAACUAUGGAAACAGAGAUGGAUUUAAAGGCAAAGCACCUAAUGAAAUGAAGACCAUGGAUAUUGAUGAUUGUAUAUACAGCAACGAAACACCCAUCAAGCCCUGCAGGAAGGAUGGAGUUGGUGAUCAACCAUCAGUGUUUUAUCAGUGGUGGAAGAGAUACUCUGGAGCUGCUGCAGUGAGUCUGGGGCUGCUGUGUGUUCUCCUAUUGGCUGGGAUCAUAGGCCUGUUGCUCUACCAGCGAAACCAAUUAACCAGAUCCAACACCCUGACCAAAGAGAGAGACCAGUUACAGACCAGCGGCAACAACCUGACUGAAGAGAGAGACCAGCUA